GGGGAAGGCGCCCUGGGGGGGGGACAGUGCCCAGCCGAGGGACGGGGCCGGCACUAGGAGUAGGCGGCCUGGUUGGCACCAGACUUGACGAUGGUGAUGACGCUGGCAGUGGCCACUUUGGCAGGUGGCCCGUGGGCAGCCACAGUGCGGGCAAAGCCCUGCAGGGCCUCGUACUUGCCACGGAGAGUGUCAAGCUCCAGGCGCAUGGCAGCAUUCUCCCGGGCCAGCUUGUCCACCUCCCAUUCCAGCUCCAUCUUCUGCUUCUGCAGCUCUUCCUUCUGGCAGACACGCUUCACUCGACAGCUGGCAGCGUAGCCCCGAUUCUUCAGCGUCCGUCGUCGCUGCUUCAGCCUCGCCACCUCCUCCUUGGAAAGGCCCCGCAGGUGGUGGUUGAGCUCCCGCACCGACAGCCCCAUCAGCUCCUCAUCCGACAGCAGCGGCGUGUUCUCUCCCAGCUCCCGCUUCACCUUUAAUGCUUUGCUGGACAGCCCAUCCGCAGCCAUGGUCGCCCCGUACCGGCCCGGAGGCCGCGCUGUGUCGCGGCGCCGGGCUGCGCUGCGCGGGAGGGGUGCGGCGAGGCGGGAGGGCUCCCCGCGCUCCGAGCCGAUCUCCGCGCGAUUACUCACCCGCGGAUUCCUUUCAUUCAUAAAAACACAGUCAUGCGGUGACGUCACCUUCCUCUCGCCCCGCC
Molecule: long non-coding RNA, 691 nt
Filed under: Gallus gallus (chicken)
Lineage: Eukaryota; Metazoa; Chordata; Aves; Galliformes; Phasianidae
Source: RNAcentral